This 1346-nucleotide ribosomal RNA is filed under the name uncultured bacterium. RNAcentral's name for it is "bacterial SSU rRNA". It matches the Rfam family "Bacterial small subunit ribosomal RNA", at positions 28 to 1381 of the family's 1533-position model. The record is from RNAcentral.
GACGAACGCUUUUGGCGUGCUUAACACAUGCAAGUCGAACGGAAAGGCCCUGCUUUUGUGGGGUGCUCGAGUGGCGAACGGGUGGGUAACACGUGAGUAACCUGCCCUUGACUUUGGGAUAACUUCAGGAAACUGGGGCUAAUACCGGAUAGGAGCUCCUGCUGCAUGGUGGGGGUUGGAAAGUUUCGGCGGUUGGGGAUGGACUCGCGGCUUAUCAGCUUGUUGGUGGGGUAGUGGCUUACCAAGGCUUUGACGGGUAGCCGGCCUGAGAGGGUGACCGGCCACAUUGGGACUGAGAUACGGCCCAGACCCCUACGGGAGGCAGCAGUGGGGAAUAUUGCACAAUGGGCGGAAGCCUGAUGCAGCAACGCCGCGUGCGGGAUGACGGCCUUCGGGUUGUAAACCGCUUUCGCCUGUGACGAAGCGUGAGUGACGGUAAUGGGUAAAGAAGCACCGGCUAACUACGUGCCAGCAGCCGCGGUGAUACGUAGGGUGCGAGCGUUGUCCGGAUUUAUUGGGCGUAAAGGGCUCGUAGGUGGUUGAUCGCGUCGGAAGUGUAAUCUUGGGGCUUAACCCUGAGCGUGCUUUCGAUACGGGUUGACUUGAGGAAGGUAGGGGAGAAUGGAAUUCCUGGUGGAGCGGUGGAAUGCGCGGAUAUCAGGAGGAACACCAGUGGCGAAGGCGGUUCUCUGGGCCUUUCCUGACGCUGAGGAGCGAAAGCGUGGGGAGCGAACAGGCUUAGAUACCCUGGUAGUCCACGCUGUAAACGGUGGGUACUAGGUGUGGGGUCCAUUCCACGGGUUCCGUGCCGUAGCUAACGCUUUAAGUACCCCGCCUGGGGAGUACGGCCGCAAGGCUAAAACUCAAAGGAAUUGACGGGGCCCCGCACAAGCGGCGGAGCAUGCGGAUUAAUUCGAUGCAACGCGUAGAACCUUACCUGGGUUUGACAUGGAUCGGGAGCGCUCAGAGAUGGGUGUGCCUCUUUUGGGGUCGGUUCACAGGUGGUGCAUGGCUGUCGUCAGCUCGUGUCGUGAGAUGUUGGGUUAAGUCCCGCAACGAGCGCAACCCUUGUUCACUGUUGCCAGCACGUUAUGGUGGGGACUCAGUGGAGACCGCCGGGGUCAACUCGGAGGAAGGUGGGGAUGACGUCAAGUCAUCAUGCCCCUUAUGUCCAGGGCUUCACGCAUGCUACAAUGGCUGGUACAGAGAGUGGCGAGCCUGUGAGGGUGAGCGAAUCUCGGAAAGCCGGUCUCAGUUCGGAUUGGGGUCUGCAACUCGACCUCAUGAAGUCGGAGUCGCUAGUAAUCGCAGAUCAGCAACGCUGCGGUGAAUACGUUCCCGGGGCU